This 305-nucleotide ribosomal RNA is filed under the name uncultured bacterium. RNAcentral's name for it is "bacterial SSU rRNA". It matches the Rfam family "Bacterial small subunit ribosomal RNA", at positions 332 to 656 of the family's 1533-position model. The record is from RNAcentral.
UUCAGCCUACGGGACGCAGCAGUGGGGAAUAUUGCACAAUGGGGGAAACCCUGAUGCAGCAACGCCGCGUGAGUGAUGACGGCCUUCGGGUUGUAAAGCUCUGUCUUCAGGGACGAUAAUGACGGUACCUGAGGAGGAAGCCACGGCUAACUACGUGCCAGCAGCCGCGGUAAUACGGAGGAUGCGAGCGUUAUCCGGAUUUAUUGGGUUUAAAGGGUGCGUAGGCGGACUGUUAAGUCAGCGGUAAAAGCCCGGGGCUCAACCCCGGCGAGCCGUUGAAACUGGCUGUCUUGAGAUGUCGAGAG